This 11336-nucleotide long non-coding RNA is filed under the name Citrus maxima (pomelo). Its description in RNAcentral is "long non-coding RNA (CMAX_LNC003705)". Lineage: Eukaryota; Viridiplantae; Streptophyta; Magnoliopsida; Sapindales; Rutaceae. The record is from RNAcentral.
AAAAAAAUUGGCCUUAUACUGAACACCAAAUCCCUAAAAUUACAGAUAAUUUGUAAACAUUAAAAGCAAUUGCGCACGCACGCAGCCCCUUUCUCUCAACAGCACGCACGCCGCCAGCACACUUAGCCCAUGCAGCAGCAACCGAGCACGGUAGCAACAGGCCACCAGCAGUCGCUCUCUCUCUCACGCACACGCAGCAGCAAGCCAACACCAAUAGCCCCUCUUUCUCAUGCUCACUCUCUACUAUGACGAAGUCAACACUAUAGCCCUCUUACGUACUCAAGAAAACUCUAACCCAUAUCCAAACCCUCGCCGUCGAAGAAAACCCAAUCCUUAAUGGCUUGAAAUUAAAGCCUCCGCCGUCAAUCACCAUCGAACCAAAUAAACCCUAGCCUUACCAUCACUCUUCAUUUGACUCGCUGAAGAAAGCACUCUAUUAGGUAAGUCUCUGUUGUUUGAUAAUAUAUCUGCACUCUUUGUUGGCCGAAGCUUUUAGACAAUUGCUUUGAUUCAAUUGCUUCGAUUGGUUAGUUCUCUGUGAUUAAUUAGUUAGUUACUUUUAAUUUCAUAUUUUCAUCUCUAACAGUGAAUUUGGGAGUCGUUUUCUCUAUCGGAUUUGUAAUUUUUGCUACGGAUCAAAAACAUCUUGAAGGUGUUUUCAUAUCUAACAACUUGAACUAUCAUUUAUUUUGUCCUAUUAAUGUUCAAUUUUUUUUUUCUUUUUUAUUAGUAUGACAAUUAGUCGAAUGUCCUUGCACAUAAAACAAUCUUUUAACUUGGCGUUGGAAUAUUUGUUUUGAGUUGUGUCCCCUUAAUCAGUGACCAUACAAAAGUUCCCCAUGAUAAAGUGUUUAGCCCUAUUAAUGCCAUAAAGUCUUGCUCUCAAUUUUUCUGAUUAUGCCUAUGGAUUGAUUACCUAUUUCAUUUACAAAUUCAAUUGGCAAAUGUACAAUGCCUGCAUGACACUCACAUUUGGGUUAUAAUGGUAGUCAUUAUGAGGAAGAAGGUUAGAAUAACAUCAGGGGAAACAUCUGGGAGAAGGUAUGUACUGUCAAGCUCUUUGUUAGAAUCAUCACGAAAUUUAUAUUGGAUCGUGGCUGUUCUAUGUGAUGCAUUUUGGAUUUGCUCUUGCUAGACAUGCAAAAACUUGUAAAAUGUAUUUUUUUUUUCCCAUUUUAGAUUUACUAUCUAGUAUCUUGUAGGUUUAAUCUAAAAUAGAAACCAUUCAGGAUACUGGACACAAUUCUAAUGAAGAGAAAAGAUGUUAGACUUUAGUAUUCAACCUUUUUUUUUUAGCCAUAUUUCUAGACCCCAAGUUUAUGUCAUGAUAAUUGUGUGAUUGAUAAGAUAUUUUGGUUUUAGACUGUAUCUCAUGGAUUUAGAGUUCGAUUAUAUUUGGAAGUGGAAUAAUGCAUUCAUUUACAUAUGAUGUUUGAUGAAGUUCCCAUAAAAUUAAUUCAAUUAUAUAUGCUUAUGGUUCUAAGGAAGCGGGGCAAAAAUUUUAUCAGUGGGUUGAUUUCACUAGUUCAAGUUAGUAAAGCAAAGAAAUUGUCUUUAUGCACUUUAACUUUCCUCCAUUUAAGUUAAAAAAAUUAUUGAAGCUUUUGGAAGUGAAUUGUUCAUUUUGUUUGUGCACUUAUGCAGAUGGAUUUACUUUUGGCUGCUUAACCCUUCCUCACUUAUAUUUUUUCAGUUUAAAUUGCAGUGUUUUACUGCUGUGCAACAGCACAAGAGGUUGUUUUAUUGUUGUUUCUAUAAAAACACAGCACCAGGAAGCGUCCAGGUAAUGUUUCGCUGCUGUUAUGCAGUAAAAACAACACCUGAAAGUUUCUAGGUGCUAUUUUUACUGCUGUUUACGCAGAAACACAGCACCUAAAAGUGUCUCUAAGUUCUGUUUAGCUGCUAUUAUGCAGCAAAAACAGCACUUGGAAACUUCCAAGUGCUGUUUUUAUUGCAUUUUAUGCAGAAACAAAGCACCUAGAAGCAUUCAAGGGUUGCUUUACUGUUGUUUUGUAUUUAAAAUUGGUCUUAGAAAUUUUGGGUGCUAUUUCGCUGAAAUUUUGCUACUAACAGUGCAGCUUAAUAAUUUCAUAUGUCGUUUUGAACCUUCUUCAGUUCUUUUCUCUUAUGUCUAUACUUAAUCUUUUCCCCCCUUGGUAAUAAGCAGGUACAAUUUUUGCAAGGUAAUAUCUAAGCAUGCUGUUAAUUCUUUGGUUGAGACGUAGUAUUCUAAACUUCAGGCCUUAAUUUUUUUAUUUCCAAGUGUAUAAUGGGUAGGUACUGGAUCUCUUAUGGAUGAUGUAGUUAAUGCUUUUUUAUUGUCUCUAUUUUGGCAAAUGUGUUGUCAUUUAUUAUCUGAACACAUGGUUGAUUAACUUACUUGAGGUAAGUCUAUUAAUUAAUAGUGAUAUGGUACUUUAAAGUCUUGUUUUACAACUUAAGUCACUAAAGUGAUUUAAUAUUUAUGAUUUAUAAUAUAUGAAUAUAUCUUAAUUUCUCUUUAUUCUUUGUAAGAAUGAUGUAGAUUGCUGAAGCUGGUGAGAUUCAUUUGCAAUUAAAGACUUGAUGAGAAAUUAGAUGUACUCACACAUGCCAAUCUUGUUGGUUGCUAGUGCAUUCACUAGUAGAAGUUUAAUGAUUGUUGGAGAUUUUUGUAGAGCUAUCUCUUUGUAUAUGAAACAUUUGCAUCAUUUUGUAUAUGAAACAUUUGAGAAAAAUAAUUGUAAAGAAUUUAAUAUGAAAUUAGAAUUAAAAUAGGAGCUUGAAAUAGCCUUAAAUUUGCCAAAUUUAUUUUUUUAAUAAUAAAUAACAAAGAUGACGGUUAUUUCAAAAGAACCGUAAUCAAAUGUAGUGUUCUACAACAAAGAUGACGGUUCUUACAAUAAACCGUCAUUAAAAUGACACAUUUAAUGACGGUUAUUUAGAUAAACCGUCAUUAAAGAUAGAUAUUUAAUGACGGUUCUUACAAUAAACCAUCAUUAAAAUGACACAUUUAAUGACGGUUAUUUAAAUAACCGUCAUUAAAAAUAUACAUUUAAUGACGGUUAGUGAACCGUCAUAAAAAACAUACCCUCUUUAAUGUCGGUGCCUAAGAUGACGGUUUUAAAACCGUCAUCUUAUGUCGUUUAAAACCGUCAUAAAAGAGCAAUUUUGUAGUAGUGGAAUCCGAAUCCAUAUCUGGAUACAAAUCCAUUUGAAAAAAUUAGAUCUCUGGAUCUGCAUCAUUUUUAAUAAAAUUAUUUAUUAAAUUAACAUGAAAAAAAAAAUAUAUAAGUUAAAUGAAAAAAAAAACAUAAUAGGAUUAAUUUAAAAAAUAUAGAAGUUGAAUUAAAUUAAGAAAUAUAUUUGAAUCCAUAUUAUUUUAUGUGGAUUUGUGGUGUCUUUAUAAUUUUAUUUGUGGAGGAUUUGUGGUGUUUUAGACUUGAAUUUAUGUUAUUCUUGAUGUUUGAUUUAUGUUGUGAUAUUUUUAUUUGUGACUUCAUGGUGUUGAAUUAUUGAUUGUUGAAUUGUGAUUGGAUUUUAUUUGAUAUUAUCAGGUAAAUUGCUUAAUUCUAAAUUAUAUUUAAAAUUAUUAAAUUUUAAUUUAUCCGGAUCCAGAUAUCUGAGAUAUCUGCUACAAUCCAUGCAGAUAUUAUCCACAUUUGGAUCCACAAAAAUAUUAACGAAUCGGAAUCCGGAUCCAGAUCCGGAUAUAAAAGUAUUAAUUCGGAUGUAGAUCUAGAUUUUGCUAUAUCCCUAUCCAAAGAUAUUUAGGACAACAUCCAAAUAACCUAUAUUCAUAAGAUGAAGUGAUCCAAAUACGGAGGGAUGUAGUGUAAUAUACAUAUAUUUAUAAGUUUGAGAUUCAAACUCCAUUCACAUGAGUUUUCAAGAAAUUGAGAUGUUAUAAGACAAAAUAUUAAAAAAUAUAUAUGCGCGUACAUAUGUGUGUCCGUGCGUGCAUAUAGAACGAUGAACAAAAAUAUUGUAAAAUAUUUAUGCUGAAAGUUCUUAAAUAUUGUUAUUGUUUGAACAAGAUCCUCCAACAAACUAAUUGAGAGUUCGAUUAUGCUGUGUUCUCUGCUUCUGUUUAGCCCACCAUCUUUUCCACAGGGGUAGAAGAGUAAUUAAGAUACCAAGUUCAUGUGAAAUUAAUUGUUUUUAAAUGUUAAUAAAGAAAUAACCAAAAAAAAUUUUUCUUUUUUUUUCACAAAGACGGGGUGAAGAACAUCUUCAAGAAUCGUGGAGGAUUCUUUGGCAAAGAAACUUCUAGAAGCCAUUAAUUUAUUUCUUUGUAGCUUUGCAAUGGGACUUCCAGAAACCCCAAUUGAAAUUCCAAUUAGGAUCGAGCAGGCUAAUAUUCCCAAUUCCACAACCUAGUAGCCGAUAACUUCAAACUGUAAGUCAUAAUUAAAAAAACAAUAAUAAUAAUAAAGAAAUAAAACAUAAAUAAAAAAAAAAGCUCAGUGUGAAAAUAAAUAAAUAAAUAUACAUGUAGUAAUACAAUAUCUAAAUAAUGAGAAAUUCUAUAAUACAUUAGAGGUGUUGUACCCAAUUAAUGUAUGUAUGAGAUUUGCAGUUCAUUUAAUAUGAUUACCCAUUCUAUAGUGAUUUUUUAAAAUAAAUACACACAUGACGUACAUGUAUGAAUUGGGUACAUUAUCUCUUAUGUACUCUAAAAUUUUUCCUAUCUAACUAAUCUGUUGGCUAAGCCAAUUGCCGAUAUAAUUGCUGUUGGAAAACGAGAUUCAUUGAAAAUAUAGAAUGUUGCUAAUUCUAUCUGCACAAAGUUGCCUUCAUGAGAUGCGAAUAAGUAAAACUAGAAGCUCUUAUGAGCUUGAACAAAUGAUUUUCAAGUAAUUUUUAUUAUUUAACUAACUAUUCAAGUUCAAAUUUAAAUUGAGUUUUACUUGACUUUUUUAAAAUAUAUAUAUAUAUAUAUAUAACAGGAAAAGUAGACCAGCAAAAUUCUAAUUAAUGAAAGAAUUGUUUGAAUUAGAGAGAAUGUGGUAAAGAGUUUAAAAUAGGCAACCGAAAGACGAAAUUAAGGCGGCAGUGAUCCGGCCUCCUUUGCGCUGUGUAACUAACCAAAUAAUAAAAUUAUCACGUAAUCUAUGAUCAUAAUUUUUGAGUUUGAUUUGACACGAUAAUAAAUGAAUUAGAUUAAAAUUUGAGAUUCUUACAUGACACAAAUAAUUAUAAAUGGAUCGAGUUUCGAUUAGCUCAAAUUUGACUUGCAUGACGCAAAAGGAAAUACGACCCGGCGACUCAAAUUGUUUCAUCUAAUUUUUAGUACAUAUUUUAGUGUUGUCUUCUUAAAAAUGGGGAUCUUUUAGUAGUACGAAACCGAGGAUUUUUUAAUGAUGGAAAAUUGAGCUGGUUUGAGUAACCAGACAUUCGAAUUUUCUUGAACCGACAUUUAUGUUUUUUUGGGAAUUUACAUCUUUAAAAUUUAGAAAAACAAUCAUGUAGAUCUAUAAAUUUUUAAUAAGAGAUAUCAAGAUCUUCUUUUGACUAUAAUAUCUUUUAACUUUAUUGACUCAGAAAAUUUACUUCAAUGUUAAGUAAUAAAUAAAAAUAUGAUAUUAAAAUAAAUAUAACGAAUUUAUACAUUUUAAAAUAAUUUAACUAUUUAAAAAAUAGUUUAACACUUUACAAUCUUAUACCAUAUUAAACUAAAUUUUAUAAUAAAUAGGAAAAUAAUAUUAAAUAAACAUAUAAAAAUUUAAAUUAUAUUUAAUAUUGAAGUUUUGUUGUGUGGUGAAUUUUUACUGGUCGUAAGUCCCGUCCAAGGAUAAGUUUUCCGUUUAGGGCUGUAAUACCAUACCUGUAGCCAUUCUGACUAAACCAAAGAUAGACCAUAGGAUUCUGACCAUGAAUCCUCUACACUGUAGAACAUCGUCCUUUUCUAGCUCUUCUUCCGGGAAGACUAGUGAUUCAAAGCAUGUUGUGAGUUCAGAAGAAUUCGUUAUUGAGAACUUUGAUAAAGCAAUUGAUUGUUGGGAACUUCCAAAGAUUUCAAAAGAACAAAUUUACAAAACAAAAAAGUUUGAUUUCCUAAAGAGUGAUUAUGUCAUAAAAACCGAAGAAAGAGACAACCCUUUCUUCACCAUUUGAAACAAUUCAUUUGUUUUCAGAAAAAUCUUUAAAAAAGUUAAAAGAAAAGAAUUUUAAUUACAUCCACAUUGGUUUGAUCCAAAUAGGAAUAAAGCCUCUAACCAAAGAAGGCUUGGAUACUUUUAUCCUUGCUGUCCUUAGAGAUGGUCGAUUCAUCUCUUUUGAUGAUUCUUUGCUAAGUAGCAUCGAGUCCAGUCUAUGUAAAGGUCCAAUUUCUUUUGACUGUUAUCCAAACAUAACGCUUUCUCUUAAAGACAAAAAUAUUUUGAAAAGCAUGAUUUUACAGAUUAAAACGCAUAAUUACAAUAUGAUAUAGGGAUCUGUCCCAGUUGCUUUAAUCUUUAAAAUCUCGUAUAAGGCUAUGAUCUCUGCGUUUAGCACGCAGCACAAAUUCCAGUCAAAAAGAGACGAGACUCUUCUCUUGCAGACUGACUUGUCUAAAGCAAACACAGUCAUUCCAAAACCAAUCCAAUGGAAAGAUGUCAAUCUUCCAGAGGAAUGGAUUCUUGAAGGAAUUGCUCCACCAGCAGUUCCAAAACAACUUGAGCCAAAUACAGAGUUGCAAAAUGUGACUCAGUAUUCUGAUGGUAAAGUCAAACUGUCAUUCAGGAGAUCUAAUUCAACUAGAUUUUCUGAUAAAGAGUCGUGCUCAAGUAUUCAUUCCUUAGAAAGGAAAUUUACAAAAAUCCCUUCUGUUAUAAAUCUUCCUUUUCAAAGUCAACCUAGGUUUUCCACUUCGGAUUUACCUAGCUCCUCCAUUCGUUCUGUUGACUAUACUACAAAAGUACCUCAUCCCAUUUAUAUUAGCAGUCAACAUGAACAAAGACAGGAAGAGAAGGAACCUUCUCCUCCAACUUCCCCUACGUUCUCUGCUGUCACAGAAAACGUUAUAAAUGUUAUUGAAAAGCAUUUUGAUUUAGAUAAGACUCUUCUUCAUAAUGAUUUUUAUUCAGAAAACAAUAAAGAAAAAAGACUUUGGUUUUUUGAGCAUUUUCUAAAUCAAAGAAAAGAAAUCCAACAAACUUAUUAUGAAUUUGUGAAUCUUCAUCAAGUUCAUAUAUUGUUUUUUGAUUGGUUCGAAAUAUAUUCUUCUGAGAACAACAUCUCUUAUCCUUUCAAAGAAUCAAACCCUAUUACUAUUAGGAAGAAAAUUCCUGAAUGGAAACUCACUGAUAGUAAUAAAACCAUAGAAUCUGAACAUCCACCUUUUAGGAGUAUAACCAUAGAUCAUGGUGAACCUCCUAUUGAAAUUAGAGCUUCACCUUACAAAAUCCCUAAGCCAAAUGAUUCUGAAGCCAAUUUAAGUAGUAUUAUCCAACAGAAUAAUUUUUGUAAUACUAACUUAAAUACUAUCGGAAAGCAGUUGACUAGGAUAGAAAACCAAUUCCAAAAGUCAACCAUCACAGUUUCUUCGACUUCUCCUAUUUCAUCAAAAUCGGAUUAUGAUAAAAAGCUUAAGGAACCUAUUUUCAAACAUUUUCAGGUUUCGAAAACUAGCCAAAGGCUUGUCCAUGAAUCAAAAUCAGAUUUUGCCAAAGCUAUUAGAGAACAGUUAGAUAGGAUAGAAGCUGCUUCUUCCUCAUCUAGCAAAAUUCAGAUAGCCCCUGAUACUCCCCAAUCUAGCAAGAUUGGAGUAUUAAAUCUAGACCAGGUUUCUAUUGCCUCUUCUGACCUAGAAGCCUUUACCGAAGAACCUGUUCCUAAAGCCAAUAAAAUCCAAUGGGAUUUAGCCCUCCCUAUUUCCAAAUCUCCACCUGAUUUGACUAUAGACAACAGGCCUAGUGCAUUAAAUCAAGCUCGAUAUAAUGCAUCCUCUGUCUAUGAGUGGAAUAUAGAUGGAAUGUCUGAGUACAACAUUCUAGGUGUAUUGCAGCAAAUGACCAUGGCAGCUAAUGCCUAUAAAACCCAAUCGGGAACUUCUGACAAGGGCAUUGCAGAAAUCCUAAUUGCUGGUUUUACUGGUCAACUUAAAGGAUGGUGGGAUCAUCUUCUCACUAAAUUGCAGCAAUUAGACAUCUUAAAUGCCAUCCAAAUCGAUGAGAAUGGUGCUCCCAUUCUUGACGAAUUCAAUAAUCCAAUUCAAGAUGCUGUUGCUACCCUGAUUUUAACCAUAUCCCUUCAUUUCAUAGGUGACCCUUCUCACCUUAGAGACAAAAACGCCGAGUUACUACACAACUUAAGAUGUAGAAAACUCAGUGAAUUCCAAGAUUACAAAACCACUUUCUUUACUAGACUCUUCCUAAGGGAUGAUGCUAAUCAUGUAACUUGGAAGGAGAAAUUCCUUGCAGGUUUACCUACCCUUUUGGGAGAAAAGGUUAGAAACUCUAUCAAAGCCCUUUAUGACAAUCGAGUUCCUUAUGACGAGCUCACCUAUGGUGAACUAGUCAGUUUUGUCAAUAAAGAAGGUUUAAAGAUCUGUCAAGAUUUGAAACUACAGAGACGUCUAAAAUGGGAGCUUAGGAAAUCUAAGCAAGAAUUAGGCGAUUUCUGUAAGCAAUUCAAUUAUGACCCCUUUAAAACUUCUACUUCUAAAGAUUGUAAUGGUAAGUGUUCUUCAAAACCUUACAAGAAACAUUACAAGUCUAAAAGCCAUAGGAAACCCUUUCAUGAUUUUAGAAAACUUCCUUAUAAGAAACCUUCGAGGCCUUAUAAGAAACAUAGUUUCUCUAAAAAGAAAGAGUUUAAAACCAAACCUAAAACCCCAUUCAAUUUCAAAGAUGCUACAUGUUUCAAAUGUGGUAUGAAAGGCCAUACUGUAAAAUUUUGCAGAAUGAACAAGAGACUUCAAGAGCUUGACCUUAAUGAGGACAUCCUUUCCAAAAUAGCCCCCCUUCUUGUAGAGUCUUCUGACUCUGAGUCUUCCAUGUCGGGAGAUAGUGACCCCCUCCAGGUUGAUGAGUUACUAGAUUCGGAUACCUCUGCAUCUAGCAGUAGCGAUUCUGAUUCGGAUACUUAUUUAAAGAAAAUCAAUGUUUUGACUAAAGACCAAGAGAUUUUCCUUGAACUUGUAAAGCAUAUUUCUGAUCCAAAUCUUCAAAAGGAUUAUCUUGACAAACUUUUGAAAACCAUGGAUUCAAACAAAGCAGAAACUUCUAAAGUUCCUAUUGUUAAAAAGAAUUCUUAUGAUCUUACUGAGAUUUUAGACAAAAAGAAAACAAAGAAAUCUACCCCUAGUAUUCAAGAUCUUCAAAAGGAGAUCAAGGAUAUUAAACUUGAGAUAAAGGAUUUAAAAGAAAAACAAAAAAGUGAUUCUAAUACUAUCCAACUUCUUUUACAAAAGCAAUUACAGGAUAACUCAGACAAUGAGUCAACUCCUGAUGAUGAUGAUAAUAUUCAUCAAAAUGUUGAAAACAUUAAGUCUGUCCCAAAAGAUUUUUUGUUUGUUUUAAAACAAAUCACCACCAGAAAAUAUUUGGUAAAAAUUACUCUAGUUUUUUCCAAAGAUUUUGCAAUGGACGCCAUUGCUCUUUUUGACACUGGUGCUGAUUUAAAUUGCAUUCGAGAGGACAUUGUUCCAAAAAGAUUUCAUGAAAAGACAAAUGAAAGACUCUCUGCUGCAAAUAAUUCAAAACUAAAGGUUAAUUCUAAAGUUAAGGCUUCCAUUUAUAAUGAUGAAGUUGAAUUUAAAACCUCUUUUGUUCUUACAAAUGAUAUACACCAUGCUAUCAUUUUAGGAACCCCUUUUAUAAAUCUCAUAACCCCUUAUGCUGUCAAUUAUGAUGGUAUUUAUUUCAGAGCAAAAUCAAAAGAUCUUGUUUUCUCAUUUAUUGAAAAACCAAAGACAAGGAAUCUUAACAUUGUCAAAGCCUGUUCUGUUUAUCAAAACAAAGUCAAUGCCAUCCUUAAGUCUAAACAAGAUGAUCUAUUUUGUUUACAAAAGGAUUUAAGUUUCCAAAGAAUUGAAAGUCAAUUGCAAAAUGAUUUUAUACAAAGAAAAAUCUCUGAUUUUAAAGCUCUUAUUGAAAAAGAGAUAUGUGCCGAUUUACCUUCUGCUUUUUGGAAUAGAAAACAGCACUUGGUUGAUUUGCCUUAUGAAAAUUCUUUUGAUGAAAAGCAAAUACCCACUAAAGCUCGUCCAAUCCAAAUGAAUAUGGAAUUGGAACAACAUUGUAAAAAUGAAAUAAAAGAUUUAGAAACCAAAGGUCUCAUUGUAAAGUCCAGAUCACCAUGGUCUUGUGCCGCUUUUUAUGUAAAUAAAAAUUCUGAAAUUGAAAGAGGUAUUCCGAGACUUGUGAUAAAUUACAAACCUUUGAAUAAAGCUUUAAAAUGGAUUAGGUAUCCCAUACCUAACAAAAAAGAUUUGCUUCAAAAACUCUGCUCAGCUUUCAUUUUUUCAAAAUUUGAUAUGAAGUCUGGUUUUUGGCAAAUUCAAAUACAUCCUAACGACCGUUACAAAACCGCUUUUACUGUUCCCUUUGGUCAAUACGAAUGGACAGUAAUGCCUUUUGGUUUAAAAAAUGCACCCUCCGAGUUUCAAAGAAUUAUGAAUGAUAUUUAUAAUCCUUAUUCUGAGUUUUGCAUUGUUUAUAUUGAUGAUGUGUUGAUUUUUUCUCAGACUAUUGAUCAACAUUUCAAACAUUUAAAGACUUUUUAUCUUGCUACUAGAAAGGCUGGGUUAGCCCUCUCUAGUUCAAAAAUUUCAUUAUUUCAAACAAAAGUCAGGUUCCUCGGUCACCAUAUUUCCAAAGGAACCAUUACCCCAAUAGAAAUAUCACUUUUGUUUGCGGAUAAAUUUCCAGACAAAAUUCUGGACAAAACCCAAUUACAAAGAUUUCUUGGUAGUUUAAAUUAUGUUCUCGAUUUCUGCCCUAACAUCAAUAGGAUGUCUAAACCCUUGCAUGAUAGGUUGAAAAAGAAUACUGUUGCAUGGUCAGACGAACAUACUAAAGUUGUUAGAUUAAUAAAGCAGUCUGUGAAAAACAUCCCAUGUUUAUUUCUUGCAAAUCCUGCAUUACCUAAAAUUGUUGAGACUGAUGCUUCUGAUAUAGGUUAUGGAGGUAUAUUGAAACAAAAGGAAAAUGAUAAAGAACAGAUAGUACAAUAUGUUUCUGCUCAUUGGAAUGAUUGCCAGAAAAAUUAUUCUACUAUCAAAAAGGAAAUUCUUUCCAUUGUUUUAUGCAUAUCUAAAUUUCAAAGCGAUUUAUUAAAUCAAAAAUUUUUACUAAGAAUUGAUUGCAAAGCUGCAAAACAUGUUUUAGAAAAGGAUGUUCACAACAUUGCAUCCAAACAGAUUUUUGCAC